GUGUAUUUUGCUGGAGGAGUUGUGGGAAUUGCUUCAAACACUUUGAGACCCAACGAAAGGGAGAGAAAACUGAGUGAGAGUUAGAGAGUUCAAUCUACUUGGCUGCUGGAGAAGAAAAAGGGUGCUGGAAAUUCAACAAGGAGUUCAAAAUUUGAAGGAAGAACAAGGGAAAGAAAGAAAAAUUAACCAAAUAUGCUGGAAAUAAAGUUUAAGGUCAGACACCGAACCAUUAGUACGUGUACCGAGGAGCCCACUGUGGCCAGGCACCGGAUCAAAGCUGGAGGCGUCGACCCGAACCCUUGUUUUGUCAAGCCAGCUAUUGUCCCUCAUUGCGAGGUUUCGAACUAGCAUGUGUCAAGGUGUUUUUGGGUGGCUCGACUUCACCCUUUUGAGUUUGUUAAGUGAAAAGAAUGUUUUAAGACUAAUGUCAAUACUGUUCCAGAUGAUGGGAUUGAUUCCCUAACUUAUGUUUUGUCUUGUCUAUAUAUGCUUAUGGGCAUAAAUGGCUAUGUACAUGAAAGUUUAUCUCCAUUUAGGUCCUCACUGCUCAUUGGACGAUGUAUGUUGUUAUUGAUUGGUUUCCCUCAGCCCCGUUAUAUUGUAUUAUUGUCAGUAUUGUUAAACAGGCCUUCGGUAAUCACGGAUUACUGGCCGGUUACGGUGCUAAACCUAUAGGGGCGGGUUUAGGUCGUGGCAUGUAGGCCUCGUUUGAUUGUCCCGAUUGAAUAUAAGGAU
Camellia sinensis is the source of this 735-nucleotide long non-coding RNA. RefSeq lists it as uncharacterized. Lineage: Eukaryota; Viridiplantae; Streptophyta; Magnoliopsida; Ericales; Theaceae. The record is from RefSeq and is a predicted model, not a curated record.